RNAcentral lists this ribosomal RNA (378 nucleotides) under uncultured cyanobacterium. Its description in RNAcentral is "bacterial SSU rRNA". It matches the Rfam family "Bacterial small subunit ribosomal RNA", at positions 36 to 440 of the family's 1533-position model. The record is from RNAcentral. Lineage: Bacteria; Bacillati; Cyanobacteriota.
UAGACCGGCGGUAUCCUACACAUGCAGUCGUACGAGAGUUUUACUCUAGUGGCGGACGGGUGAGUAACACGUGAGAAUUACCUUUAGGAGGGGGAUAACAAUUGGAAACGAAUGCUAAUACCCCAUAUGCUUUUGAGUGAAAUGGAUUUUAUCCGCCUAAAGAAAAGCUCGCGGCUGAUUAGCUUGUUGGUAAGGUAAGAGCUUACCAAGGCGACGAUCAGUAUCUGGUUUGAGAGGACGAUCAGACACACUGGAACUGAGACACGGUCCAGACUCCUACGGGAGGCAGCAGUGGGGAAUUUUCCGCAAUGGGCGAAAGCCUGACGGAGCAAUACCGCGUGAGGGAAGAAUGCCUAUGGGUUGUAAACCUCUUUUUUC